Non-coding RNA from Triticum aestivum (bread wheat), 134 nucleotides. The record is from Rfam. Lineage: Eukaryota; Viridiplantae; Streptophyta; Magnoliopsida; Poales; Poaceae.
UAUAAACUCCCUCCGUCCGGAAAUACUUGUCAUCAAAAUGGAUAAAAGGGAUGUAUCUAGAUGUAUUUUAGUUUUAGAUACAUCCCUUUUUGCCCAUUUUGAUGACAAGUAUUUUCGGACGGAGGAAGUAUAAU